AACUAUGGUUAAGGAACUCGGCAAAUUACCCCCGUAACUUCGGGAGAAGGGGGGCCACAGACUGUCAAACUCCAUGCGGGUGGCAGCGGUAGGUGGCCGCAGAGACCAGGGGGAAGCGACUGUUUACUAAAAACACAGGUCCGUGCGAAGUCGUAAGACGAUGUAUACGGACUGACGCCUGCCCGGUGCUGGAACGUUAAGGGGACCGGUUAGUCCGCAAGGGCGAGGCUGAGAACUUAAGCGCCAGUAAACGGCGGUGGUAACUAUAACCAUCCUAAGGUAGCGAAAUUCCUUGUCGGGUAAGUUCCGACCUGCACGAAUGGCGUAACGACUUCCCUACUGUCUCAACCAUAGGCCCGGCGAAAUUGCACUACGAGUAAAGAUGCUCGUUACGCGCGGAAGGACGGAAAGACCCCGGGACCUUCACUAUAGCUUGACAUUGGUACUCGAAUUGAAUUGUGUAGGAUAGGUGGGAGACUUUGAAGCUCGGACGCCAGUUCGGGUGGAGCCAAACUUGAAAUACCACUCUGUUGAAUUUGGGUAUCUAACUUCGGACCGUGAUCCGGUUCAGGGACACUGUCUGGUGGGUAGUUUAACUGGGGCGGUUGCCUCCUAAAAUGUAACGGAGGCGCCCAAAGGUUCCCUCAGCCUGGUUGGCAAUCAGGUGUUGAGUGCAAGUGCACAAGGGAGCUUGACUGUGAGACUGACAGGUCGAGCAGGGACGAAAGUCGGGACUAGUGAUCCGGCACCUGCGAGUGGAAGCGGUGUCGCUCAACGGAUAAAAGGUACCCCGGGGAUAACAGGCUGAUCUUCCCCAAGAGUCCAUAUCGACGGGAUGGUUUGGCACCUCGAUGUCGGCUCGUCGCAUCCUGGGGCUGGAGUAGGUCCCAAGGGUUGGGCUGUUCGCCCAUUAAAGCGGCACGCGAGCUGGGUUUAGAACGUCGUGAGACAGUUCGGUCCCUAUCCUCCGCGCGCGCAGGAGACUUGAGAAGGGCUGUCCCUAGUACGAGAGGACCGGGACGGACGAACCUCUGGUGUGCCAGUUGUCAUGCCAAUGGCACGGCUGGUUAGCUACGUUCGGAAGGGAUAACCGCUGAAAGCAUCUAAGCGGGAAGCCUGCUUCAAGAUGAGGUCUCCCACCCCUUGAGGGUUAAGGCCCCCAGCUAGACCACUGGGUUGAUAGGCCAGAAGUGUAAGCCUGGUAACAGGUUCAGCCGACUGGUACUAAUAGGCCGAGGACUUAA
RNAcentral lists this ribosomal RNA (1244 nucleotides) under metagenome. Its description in RNAcentral is "bacterial LSU rRNA". It matches the Rfam family "Bacterial large subunit ribosomal RNA", at positions 1697 to 2925 of the family's 2925-position model. The record is from RNAcentral.